UACGAAAGGGGCGAGUGUUGUCUGUGUGGACUGGGUGUAAAGGAUGUGUAGGCGGUUUUUCGGAUUUUUUGUUAAAUGAAUACUCGAAGGUAUUCUAAAUAAAUUUUUAUCGUAAUACUUGAGUUUGCGCAGGUCAGUGGUAUUACUCUAGGAGGCCAAGCGUCUUAGAUAAGAGUAGGAAUGCCAUAGGUGAAGGCGACUUUCCGUAGUAAACUGACGCUGAGCCAUGAAAGUGUGGGGAGCGAACUGG
Molecule: ribosomal RNA, 250 nt
Filed under: uncultured bacterium
Lineage: Bacteria
Description: partial 16S ribosomal RNA
Rfam family: Bacterial small subunit ribosomal RNA
Source: RNAcentral